UGAGUAUGCUGGACGGUCGCAUGCGGGCGCAUGAGGAAAGUCCGAGCGCCAUAGAGCGGGACGCAGGGUAACACCCUGUGGAGGCGACUCCAAGGAAAGUGCAACAGAAAUAGACCGCCGGGAGCGGCAGCGCCCACGGACGCGGCGGCUUCCGGCAAGGAUGGAAAGGCGAGGUAAGAGCUCACCCGGGGUCCGGCGACGGGCCCCCGCUGUAAACCCCGUCCGGCGCAAGAUUGAUGGGGGCAUAUGCGGCUGCUCGCCGCGCCCCGAGAAUCGCUGGAGCCUGGCGGCAACGCCCGGCCUAGAUAGAUGACCGUACAACGGCGUAUAAUAACGCCCGGGACAGAACUCGGCUUACAGGCAUGCUCGAAUC
Molecule: RNase P RNA, 373 nt
Filed under: Oscillospiraceae bacterium
Lineage: Bacteria; Bacillati; Bacillota; Clostridia; Eubacteriales; Oscillospiraceae
Description: RNase P RNA component class A
Rfam family: Bacterial RNase P class A
About the family: Ribonuclease P (RNase P) is a ubiquitous endoribonuclease, found in archaea, bacteria and eukarya as well as chloroplasts and mitochondria. Its best characterised activity is the generation of mature 5'-ends of tRNAs by cleaving the 5'-leader elements of precursor-tRNAs.
Source: RNAcentral